AUGAACGCUGGCGGCGUGCCUAAUACAUGCAAGUCGAGCGAACAGACGAGGAGCUUGCUCCUCUGACGUUAGCGGCGGACGGGUGAGUAACACGUGGAUAACCUACCUAUAAGACUGGGAUAACUUCGGGAAACCGGAGCUAAUACCGGAUAAUAUAUUGAACCGCAUGGUUCAAUAGUGAAAGACGGUUUUGCUGUCACUUAUAGAUGGAUCCGCGCCGCAUUAGCUAGUUGGUAAGGUAACGGCUUACCAAGGCAACGAUGCGUAGCCGACCUGAGAGGGUGAUCGGCCACACUGGAACUGAGACACGGUCCAGACUCCUACGGGAGGCAGCAGUAGGGAAUCUUCCGCAAUGGGCGAAAGCUUGACGGAGCAACGCCGCGUGAGUGAUGAAGGUCUUCGGAUCGUAAAACUCUGUUAUUAGGGAAGAACAAAUGUGUAAGUAACUAUGCACGUCUUGACGGUACCUAAUCAGAAAGCCGCGGCUAACUACGUG
RNAcentral lists this ribosomal RNA (496 nucleotides) under uncultured bacterium. RNAcentral describes it as "partial 16S ribosomal RNA". It matches the Rfam family "Bacterial small subunit ribosomal RNA", at positions 29 to 507 of the family's 1533-position model. The record is from RNAcentral.